UACAGAGGGUGCAAGCGUUAUUCGGAAUCACUGGGCGUAAAGCGCAUGUAGGCGGCUUGGUAAGUCGGAUGUGAAAUCCCUCGACUCAAUCGAGGAAGUGCAUUGGAAACUGCCAGGCUAGAGUGCAGGAGGGGAGAACGGAAUUCCUGGUGUAGAGGUGAAAUUCGUAGAUAUCAGGAGGAACAACGGUGGCGAAGGCGGUUCUCUGGACUGUAACUGACGCUGAGGGUGCGAAAGCGUGGGGAGCAAACAGG
Molecule: ribosomal RNA, 254 nt
Filed under: uncultured bacterium
Lineage: Bacteria
Description: partial 16S ribosomal RNA
Rfam family: Bacterial small subunit ribosomal RNA
Source: RNAcentral